CUUAAAUGAGUUCGCGACCAAAUGAUAUGCUAUUACUAGGAUGAUAGACAUAUCAAAUGUAGGUCGUUGUGUGCCAUAUAGGUUGGUUGUCCUCUUAACCAAAGAGCGUGGAAAUGCUGGUAUAGCAUGCAAGUGAAAUAUAGGAGUAUAUUUUACUGAACCUGACCAACUCCAGAGCAUUCUGCUAUCAAGAGUCACUCUGAAG
This 205-nucleotide long non-coding RNA is filed under the name Elaeis guineensis (African oil palm). RNAcentral's name for it is "long non-coding RNA (EGUI_LNC056085)". Lineage: Eukaryota; Viridiplantae; Streptophyta; Magnoliopsida; Arecales; Arecaceae. The record is from RNAcentral.